RNAcentral lists this ribosomal RNA (538 nucleotides) under Pelophylax ridibundus (marsh frog). RNAcentral's name for it is "partial 16S ribosomal RNA". It matches the Rfam family "Bacterial large subunit ribosomal RNA", at positions 1854 to 2606 of the family's 2925-position model. The record is from RNAcentral. Lineage: Eukaryota; Metazoa; Chordata; Amphibia; Anura; Ranidae. RNAcentral also lists the same sequence under 1 other name.
CCAGCCUGCCCAGUGACAAAGUUUAACGGCCGCGGUACCCUAACCGUGCGAAGGUAGCAUAAUCACUUGUUCUUUAAAUAGGGACUCGUAUCAACGGCAUCACGAGGGCUAUACUGUCUCCUUUCUCCAAUCAGUGAAACUGAUCUUCCCGUGAAGAAGCGGGAAUUAUUGUAUAAGACGAGAAGACCCCAUGGAGCUUUAAACUCAAUAUAUACCUCUACGCAUUUAUAUCACUAUAGCCUAAGAAAAUUAUAUAUUAGUUUUGGGUUGGGGGGACCGCGGAGAAAAAAUUAACCUCCACGACAAAUAGGCCAACGCCUUUAUCUAUGAACCACAAUUCUAAGAAUCAAUAAACUGAUGUUUAAUGAUCCAAUUUUUUGAUCAACGAACCAAGUUACCCUGGGGAUAACAGCGCAAUCUACUUCAAGAGCUCCUAUCGACAAGUGGGUUUACGACCUCGAUGUUGGAUCAGGGUAUCCUAGUGGUGCAGCCGCUACUAAAGGUUCGUUUGUUCAACGAUUAAAACCCUACGUGAUCU